RNAcentral lists this unclassified non-coding RNA (126 nucleotides) under Marinobacter salarius. Its description in RNAcentral is "PrrF RNA". The record is from RNAcentral. Lineage: Bacteria; Pseudomonadati; Pseudomonadota; Gammaproteobacteria; Pseudomonadales; Marinobacteraceae.
UUGACAACAAUAAACGAUAAUGAUUAUCAUUAACUCACCAAAUGACGAAGGUCGUAUUCAUUUGGUCUCUCUCAUCAGGAGCUAUACGCUCUUUUCAUGCCCCGCGGUUUCGCGGGGCUUUUUUUG